RNAcentral lists this ribosomal RNA (484 nucleotides) under uncultured bacterium. RNAcentral's name for it is "partial 16S ribosomal RNA". It matches the Rfam family "Bacterial small subunit ribosomal RNA", at positions 30 to 507 of the family's 1533-position model. The record is from RNAcentral.
AUUGAACGCUGGCGGCAGGCCUAACACAUGCAAGUCGAGCGGAUGAAGGGAGCUUGCUCCUGGAUUCAGCGGCGGACGGGUGAGUAAUGCCUAGGAAUCUGCCUGGUAGUGGGGGAUAACGUCCGGAAACGGGCGCUAAUACCGCAUACGUCCUGAGGGAGAAAGUGGGGGAUCUUCGGACCUCACGCUAUCAGAUGAGCCUAGGUCGGAUUAGCUAGUUGGUGGGGUAAAGGCCUACCAAGGCGACGAUCCGUAACUGGUCUGAGAGGAUGAUCAGUCACAUGGGAAGGGAGACAGGGUCCAGCCUCCGAGGGGAGGCAGCAGGGGGGAUUUUGGGACAGGGGGCGAAACCUUGACCCACCCGUGCGGUGUGUGGGAAGAAGGUCUUCGGAUUUUAAAGCAUUUUGAGGGGGGGGAAAGGGAAGUAAUUUAAUACCUUCUUUUUUGGACGUUACCAAAAAAAUAAGCCCCGGCUAACUUCGUG